UACGUAGGGGGCAAGCGUUGUCCGGAAUCAUUGGGCGUAAAGAGCGUGUAGGCGGCCCGGUAAGUCCGCUGUGAAAGUCCAGGGCUCAACCCUGGGAUGCCGGUGGAUACUGUCGGGCUCGAGUCCGGAAGAGGAGUGUGGAAUUCCUGGUGUAGCGGUGAAAUGCGCAGAUAUCAGGAGGAACACCAACGGCGAAGGCAGCACUCUGGGCCGGUACUGACGCUGAGGAGCGAAAGCGUGGGGAGCAAACAGG
Molecule: ribosomal RNA, 253 nt
Filed under: uncultured bacterium
Lineage: Bacteria
Description: partial 16S ribosomal RNA
Rfam family: Bacterial small subunit ribosomal RNA
Source: RNAcentral